UUAACAGCCCAAGAAGCCACAGUCCUCUCUUUUUUCAACCAAACAGGUUCAGCAAGGGUGGAAGGAACACAAGCUUCCCCCAGUCUGCUCAAGCAAUAUGCCUCAACCCUGACCUGAGAGAAUAUCUCUAAGGGGAAAGGCAUUUGUUACAUUUCUUUUCCAAUUAAUUUGACAGCUCU
This is an unclassified non-coding RNA of Lepidothrix coronata (blue-crowned manakin), 179 nucleotides long. The record is from Ensembl. Lineage: Eukaryota; Metazoa; Chordata; Aves; Passeriformes; Pipridae.